RNAcentral lists this unclassified non-coding RNA (330 nucleotides) under soil metagenome. RNAcentral's name for it is "partial contains 5.8S ribosomal RNA, internal transcribed spacer 2, and large subunit ribosomal RNA". The stretch from base 1 to 120 matches the Rfam family "5.8S ribosomal RNA", at positions 35 to 154 of the family's 154-position model. The record is from RNAcentral.
GAUGAAGAACGUAGUGAAAUGCGAUAAGUAGUGUGAAUUGCAGAAUUCAGUGAAUCAUCGAAUCUUUGAACGCACAUUGCGCCCCUUGGUAUUCCAUGGGGCAUGCCUGUUCGAGCGUCAUUUGUACCCUCAAGCUUUGCUUGGUGUUGGGCGUCUUGUCUUGUAUUAGACUCGCCUUAAAGUCAUUGGCAGCCAGUGUUUUUGGUAGUAAGCGCAGCACAUUUUGCGUCUUAGUCCUUGAAUCGUGGCAUCCAUGAAGCCUUUUUUCACUUUUGACCUCGGAUCAGGUAGGGAUACCCGCUGAACUUAAGCAUAUCAAUAAGCGGAGGA